UGAGCAAUCUGCCCUUCUCAUCGGAAUAAGCGUUGGAAACGACGUCUAAUGCCGAAUACGACCUCCUUUCGCAUGAUCGGAGGUGGAAAGCUCCGGCGGAGAAGGAUGAGCUCGCGGCCUAUCAGCUAGUUGGUGUGGGUAACGCCGCCCAACGAGGCGACGG
RNAcentral lists this ribosomal RNA (163 nucleotides) under uncultured bacterium. Its description in RNAcentral is "partial 16S ribosomal RNA". It matches the Rfam family "Bacterial small subunit ribosomal RNA", at positions 118 to 279 of the family's 1533-position model. The record is from RNAcentral.